RNAcentral lists this unclassified non-coding RNA (202 nucleotides) under Hevea brasiliensis (rubber tree). Lineage: Eukaryota; Viridiplantae; Streptophyta; Magnoliopsida; Malpighiales; Euphorbiaceae. The record is from RNAcentral.
GCCCCUGAGGAAUACUGCCACUAAGGGAGUUAUUGAAAAGCUGUAGUUGAAUCAUUUCUGUCAAGUAUUGAAAACCCAAAGGAAUAGGACCUUUGAGAUAAUUAAUUGAAAGGUCAAGCUUUGUCAAGUUCCUCAAGCUACUAAGUUCAUUUGGUAUGACACCAGUAAGCUGAUUCUGGAAGAGGUACAGAAGAUGCAGACC